GUAGACAGGUGGGGGCGGGUACGUGAGCAAGGCGAUCGGACACUGGGACGGGGACUGUGGUUUAUCAUGGCUAAAAUCAACGCUGGCGGCGUGCCUAACACAUGCUAGUCGAACGGCGGAAGCCCCGCAAGGGGCAAGUAGAGUGGCAAACGGGUGAGUAACGCGUGGGUGACCUGCCUUCGAGCGGGGGAUAACGUUCCGAAAGGGACGCUAAUACCGCAUAACAUUCCGUCUUUGAACAGAUGGCAAUCAAAGCUGGGGAUCGCAAGACCCAGCACUCGAAGAGGGGCCCGCGUCCGAUUAGCUAGUUGGUGAGGUAACGGCUCACAAAGCAUCGAUCGGUAGCCGGCCUGAGAGGGGCGACGGCCACACUGGAACUGAAACACGGCCCAGACUCCUACGGGAGGGAUCAGUGGGGAAUUUGUCGAAAUGGGCGCAAGGCUGGACAACCCAACGCCGCGUGG
This 464-nucleotide ribosomal RNA is filed under the name uncultured bacterium. Its description in RNAcentral is "bacterial SSU rRNA". The stretch from base 50 to 464 matches the Rfam family "Bacterial small subunit ribosomal RNA", at positions 1 to 404 of the family's 1533-position model. The record is from RNAcentral.